Molecule: RNA transcript, 12618 nt
Organism: Ailuropoda melanoleuca (giant panda)
Lineage: Eukaryota; Metazoa; Chordata; Mammalia; Carnivora; Ursidae
Gene: RPS6KA5
Gene name: ribosomal protein S6 kinase A5
Exons: 19
Source: RefSeq, a predicted model, not a curated record
CUUGCUGACUGUGGGCGGAGCGGGCCGAAGGAGGAGGUGGCGGAGCAGGGGGCGGUUUGGUUGCGCGGUACUAGCGGUGCCCGCCGAAGGGGGAGGAGGCGGAGGAGCGAGCUGUGUGGCCAGAGCGGGAAAGAGACUCGUCGCUGCGUCCGAGUUCUGGAGCCGCCGCACCCGGCUUCUGGGGCUGCAGCGGGAGCUCUGAGGGGCCGGGCGUCCUCUGUCUCCCGGGUCCCCGCGUAGGACCCCGCGGGAUCGGAAAAGGCAGAAGAUGGAGGAGGGCGGCAGCGGCGGCAGCGCCGCGGGGACCAGCGGGGACGGCGGCGCCGGGGGAGAGCAGCUCCUCACUGUCAAGCACGAGCUGCGGACGGCUAAUUUAACAGGACAUGCAGAGAAGGUGGGGAUUGAAAAUUUUGAACUCCUCAAGGUCCUAGGAACUGGAGCUUAUGGAAAAGUAUUUCUGGUUCGUAAAAUCAGUGGUCACGACGCUGGCAAGCUGUAUGCUAUGAAAGUCUUGAAAAAGGCCACAAUAGUGCAAAAGGCCAAAACCACAGAGCACACAAGGACUGAGCGGCAAGUCCUGGAGCACAUCAGGCAGUCGCCAUUCUUGGUGACCUUGCACUACGCUUUCCAGACAGAAACCAAACUUCAUCUCAUUUUAGAUUAUAUAAAUGGUGGAGAACUUUUUACUCAUCUUUCUCAAAGAGAGCGUUUCACAGAGCAUGAGGUGCGGAUCUAUGUUGGAGAGAUCGUGCUUGCCCUCGAACAUCUCCACAAGUUGGGAAUUAUAUACCGUGACAUUAAGCUUGAGAACAUUCUACUUGAUUCUAAUGGCCACGUGGUGCUGACAGAUUUUGGUCUGAGUAAGGAGUUUGUGGCUGAAGAAGCUGAAAGAGCAUAUUCCUUUUGUGGGACUAUUGAAUACAUGGCACCGGAUAUUGUCAGAGGGGGAGAUUCAGGACACGACAAGGCAGUUGACUGGUGGAGUUUAGGUGUUCUAAUGUAUGAAUUACUUACUGGAGCAUCUCCUUUCACUGUGGAUGGGGAGAAGAAUUCCCAAGCUGAGAUAUCUAGGAGAAUAUUAAAAAGUGAGCCUCCAUAUCCUCAAGAAAUGAGUGCUUUAGCUAAAGACCUAAUUCAGCGUCUUUUGAUGAAAGAUCCCAAGAAAAGAUUGGGAUGUGGUCCACGUGAUGCGGAUGAGAUCAAAGAACAUCUCUUUUUCCAGAAAAUCAAUUGGGAUGAUUUAGCUGCCAAAAAAGUGCCCACGCCAUUUAAGCCAGUCAUCCGAGACGAACUAGAUGUGAGUAACUUCGCAGAAGAGUUCACGGAGAUGGACCCCACCUACUCCCCGGCGGCACUGCCCCAGAGCUCCGAGAGGCUGUUCCAGGGCUAUUCCUUUGUCGCUCCUUCUAUUCUGUUCAAGCGUAAUGCAGCUGUCAUAGAUCCUCUUCAGUUUCACAUGGGAGUUGAACGUCCCGGAGUGACAAAUGUUGCCAGGAGUGCAAUGAUGAAGGACUCCCCGUUCUAUCAACACUAUGACCUGGAUCUGAAGGACAAGCCCCUGGGAGAGGGAAGUUUUUCAAUUUGUCGAAAGUGCAUACACAAAAAAAGUAACCAAGCCUUCGCAGUCAAAAUAAUCAGCAAGAGGAUGGAAGCCAAUACUCAGAAAGAAAUAACAGCUCUGAAGCUCUGUGAAGGGCACCCCAACAUCGUGAAAUUGCACGAAGUUUUUCACGAUCAGCUGCACACGUUUCUGGUGAUGGAACUUCUGAACGGGGGAGAGCUGUUUGAACGCAUUAAGAAAAAGAAGCACUUCAGUGAGACUGAAGCCAGUUACAUCAUGCGGAAGCUCGUUUCGGCCGUGAGCCACAUGCAUGAUGUGGGCGUGGUGCACAGGGACCUGAAGCCCGAGAAUUUAUUGUUCACUGAUGAAAAUGACAAUUUGGAAAUUAAAGUAAUCGAUUUUGGGUUUGCACGCUUAAAGCCGCCUGAUAACCAGCCUCUCAAGACGCCCUGCUUCACCCUGCACUACGCCGCCCCCGAGCUCUUGAAUCACAACGGCUACGACGAGUCCUGCGACCUCUGGAGCCUGGGCGUCAUUUUGUAUACAAUGUUGUCAGGGCAAGUUCCAUUCCAGUCUCAUGACAAAAGUUUGACAUGUACCAGUGCGGUGGAAAUCAUGAAGAAAAUUAAAAAGGGAGAUUUCUCCUUUGAAGGAGAAGCCUGGAAGAAUGUAUCCCAAGAAGCUAAAGCCUUGAUCCAAGGACUCCUCACAGUCGACCCAAAUAAAAGACUUAAAAUGUCAGGCUUGAGAUACAACGAAUGGCUUCAAGAUGGCAGUCAGCUGUCCUCCAAUCCUCUGAUGACUCCGGACAUUCUAGGAUCUUCGGGAGCUGCCGUGCAAACCUGUGUGAAAGCAACCUUCCACGCCUUUAACAAAUACAAGAGAGAGGGGUUUUGCCUUCAGAAUGUCGACAAGGCCCCUUUGGCAAAGAGAAGGAAAAUGAAGAAGACCAGCACCAGCACAGAGACACGCAGCAGCUCUAGCGAAAGUUCUCACUCGUCCUCCUCUCACUCCCACGGGAAGACCACGCCCACUAAGACCCUGCAGCCCAGCAACCCCGCGGACCCCAGCAACCCAGACACGCUCUUCCAGUUCUCGGACUGAGUGGCGCGGGGAUGGUAGGAGUGUCACCGAUGACGACCCAUCGCACCUUGAAUGCCCUCAGCAUGUGCCUGAGAUUCACUUACCGUGAAAAAACGCUUUUUAAUGUUUCUCUGUUGCUACCGAUUGCUGAAAUAACUGUGUAAAGACAACAUGGAAAAUACAAGGAUGUUUUUGCUGAGUAUGAAAUUCUGGGUUCAGCACUCCCAAGAUGUCAUCCCAUUCUGUAAGUUCUGUGGAAAAGUCAGCCAUCAGUCUUACUGUUACACCUUUGAAGGUAAUAUGUCUUUUUUCCUCUGGUUACUUUGAAGAUUCUAUCUUUGCCUUUGAUUUUUAGCAGUUUGACUGUAAUAUACCUAUGUGUGGUUUCUUUAUUUUCCCUAAGGAUAGCAAACUUGUUUAAAUCUUUUGAUUGAUGUUCUUCCUUAAUUUUGGCAAUUCUUAACCAGUCAUUCUUCAAAUAAUUUUUCCAACCUAUUGUCUCUUUCCUCUUUUCUAGAAUUCUUCCAAACCUUUCAUCAUGUUCCGUAUGUAUCUUACAGUCUUUCUGUGUUUUCCUCUUUCUUUCUCCCUGUUCUUCAAUCUAUGUAAUUUUUACUGGUCUGUCUUCCAGUUCAUUUGUCCUCUGGUCUGCUAGAUCUAAUGAAUUUUAAUCUUAAUUUCACAUAUUGUAUUUUCAGAUUUAAAAUAUUCAUUGACUCUUUUUUAUAGAUUCCAGGUCUCUGCUGAAAUUCUCAAUCUUUUCCUCUCAAUUCUUGAACAUAUUAAUCAAAGGAAUUUUGAAGUUCUUGUCUGAUAGAUCCAAUGUCUGAAUUACUCCAUAUUGGCUGGUUGUAUUAUUCAUACAUAUUUUCUUCUGGUAGUCAGUCAUUUUGUCCUGUUUUCUAAGAUCUCUCAUAAGUUUGGCUGAAUACUAUACAUUGUGUAUUAAAGAUCUUAGAGGCACUGCAUGGAGUUAUGUCCUUUCAAGAUGGUUAUGCUUUCUUCUGGCAGGUAGGUAGAGUGUAGCGAGAUUACCACAAUCCUCUUGAGGAUUGACUUUAGACUUUGUAAGGGCGGGUUUCAGUUUUUGCCCUGACCCCUGCACCAAAAGUUCCGCACCAAGAGCUACUCAAAGCUCUGCUCUCUUCAGCCUCACAGCUGCUGCUCUUUGCUGGGUUUCUGGAGGCCUCACCUGGUGCCCAUGAUUCAAGGAUGGCAAACACCGCAAGGAAAUAAAGUAACAGCAUUUCUGGCUCACUUCCCUGAGGUUUCCUCCUCUCUGGGAUUUUGCCCUUCAAGUCCUAGCUGCUUUAGCAGCCCAGACUCCAACCUUUGUCUCCUCAACCAAGGAGGAUGACUGCUUUCUUCUGGGAACAUAUUCCCUGUGCCAUGAAUUUGCAGCACAUUUUGAGAAGUCAGAACGAAUGUGGAGCUCAUACCAACGGGCUUCCCUUCUUACAGGGAUUAGAGCUUCGUAGGGCUCCUGUGUGGGUUUGCUCCCUGGCGCUACCUAUUUUGCUUUCCUGUUGUUUUCAGGGGGAAAAUCAGUUCCAAUUACAAGCUACUCUAUUGUGGCCCAAAGCAGGAAUCUGGUGGUAAUCACUCUUAAUCACCAAAGUCAUUUCCCACAGUGGCUUCUGGCAACAAGAACUUGGUUGUCAUGAGUUCACGUAGGAGGGCGCCCAGUUUAUUCACUUGUCUUUCACACACAGUUUUUGAGCUCCUACUCAGGCCAGCUGUUGUUCUAGACACAGGUAAUACAGCAGUAAAUAAGAUUUCUGCCACUUUGCAAGGUAGAGCCUUUUAUGUCAUAGAAAGACUGGCUACUAAAGGGUUUCUGUGCCAUGCUUGUACUAUUUAAAGGCUUUUUCUUAUGUGUGGGUGAAUGAGAGACAGACUGAGCUCAAGACCUUUAGGAUGACAACACCUUCCUAUUUUAUACAAAUAUUCUUAGCCUUUAAAAAAUUCUGCUGAGAUUAACCCAGUUCACAAUUCACACACAGUACAUCAAUACAAGGCCACCUUUUGAAAGCCAAGGUGUUAUGCUUAAUUCCCUAUCUGUGAGUUUCUACAUCAUACGGACAAGGCAAACACAUGAAAGACCUACUUUGGAACAGAAAUAUAGGACAAUUCAAGCUAAAACUCCAAGAAUUGCUUCAUGGAGAACAAACUUAGUUCUGAAAGCAAAUCUUUCAAUGAGCAUCAACAUGAGAUCUAAUCAGCCUACCUGUGGUUUCUCAUUUUAGCUUCAGUUUUUAAAAAACAUUUCACACGCUACAAAGCACUUACUUAUUAAGUGCUUCGAGAUACUGGGAAAAAAAUGGCUUGGUUUUCCCAGUCUUCCGAACAGCUUGAAUGUCACUGGUACCAAGAGAAAAAUAUAACCCAAGCACAUGUUACUGUUAAGAUACUGUGGUCAAAUCAAGAAUUUUACUCCUCUGUUCUUUGUUACUCUUUCCCACUUUAGAAACUUCACAUAUUCUGGGGAAUGAUAAUUUGUAGUUCCAAUUUUUAUCCAUUUUCAUGUGAUUAAAAGGCCGUCAAAGAACUAGAACAUCCUAUAUAGAAGUUCCAUAGAAGCUUGAGUACACUCAUGGGGCCAGACCACGAAUCUUGAGCACUGGUGGUUUGGUGUCCUUGGAAUUACAAUACUUUUGGAAUGGUUUAAGAACUACCAGUUAAAAUAGACAAAGCCAGACACAAAAGGCCACUUAUUGUAUAAGUUCAUGUGUAUGACAUGUCCAUAAUAGGCAUAUCCACAGAGACAGAAAGUAGAUUAGAGGUUUCCAGAGGAUGGUAGGAGGGAGAGAUGGGGAGUGACUGUUAAUGCAUAUAGGGGAUGCAAGUAGGUGAUGUUUUGGGUGAUGAAAACGUUCUGGAAUUAAAUAGGGUAAUGGUUGUAGAACAUUGUAAAAGUACUCAAAACCACCGAAUUGUACACUUAAAAUGUUAUGUUAUUAUAUGAAUGUUAUCCUAAUUUUUAAAAAAUCACACACACACACACACAAAUUACCGGCUGUAAAAGAUAGAGUUAUUUUGAUGGAGCCAGCUCUAACACCUUGCUAUUCUGAGAAUACCAUCCCCACUUGUCAUUUAUUUGGUAACGACUCUGAAGCAUAAUUAAUAUUAUGAAGAAAAUCUCCACUUAUAAACCGAAAUUAACUUUUGGGGGACAAAGUGAAUAUGUUUCUUGCAGAUAACACCAAAAUUGCAGCCUAACAGAGAGGGCACCUCCCCUGGAUCAUAUUUUUCCCGCCACUCAGUGAUGUUCGGGAAGAUAUCAAAGUGCUGCGUGUCUUAACAGUGGUCUGUCCAGUUUACCGUUACUUGUAUCUCUGCUCUAAACGUUAAUCUCUUGCUUUUGGCCUCUUUGUCUUCAUGGGGCCACCAGGCUCUUGCUUUGCAGACAUUUUUCUUUGGUGAGCACUUUUCUCAAAUCUUUCUUAUCUUAUCAAUAUUAACUUUCGCUCAGAAGUUGGUUCACGUGUGCAGUUCACUGAAAUAUUAUUUUAUUUAUUCAGGAAAUCAAUCGGAGCAUUUGUCUUUUUCUCAAAGGAUGGUGCCAUCAAAACCCCAGGAAGUCAUGCCACUCGUGACUUUUCCGUCUUACUAAGUAGUCAGAGGCUGUACCGUCUCCUUAACUCCACUGUAUAUGGUCAAAGUAUCUUUAUCCUCGGUAAUUUAUGUACACUCAUUAACCAUAAAAGUGUUAUCGAUAUGAGGGAGAGCUUAGAAAUUUUUUUAUUCACCGAUUGAGACAUCACAUGAAACUUUGCUUUUGUUUUGGGCAACAAAGAACUGCACUGAAGAAAAGUGAUUAGACUUUGAAAUUUUCAAAAUGCUUUUACAGCCAAUGUCAAUAAAGUUGUUUCAAACUGCAAAUUACUUCACCUAAAAUCUUUAUGUGGAGAAAAUAUGUUGUAACGCAUUAAAAUCAGUACUUUUUAUACAUGUUGAGCAGUAAAUGUUUUGAAGGUAUUUUUAAAUAGUAACUAGCUAUUGAAAAUUCUUUCUUAAAGGGGCACGCGGCUGGCUCUGUCAGUGGAGCGUGUGUGACUUUUGAUCUUGGGGUUGUGAGUUUGAGCCCCACGUUGGGUGCAGAGAUGACUUUAAAAUAAAAUCUUAAAAAAAUAAAAUAAAAGGCAUUUCAGAAUCACUCAGUAAAAUAAAUAUUUAUCCUCCCAGUCCGUUCUUGUUUUAAAACAUAUAUACCAUUACACUAAUGAUACAAUACUUACACUAACUCAUACAUUUUAGCUGUGCUUUGUUCUAAAUAUUUUAAGAAAGUUUUUUUUUUAAGAUUUUAUUUUUAAGAAAUCUCCACAUCUGGUGUGGGGCUGAAACUUUUUACAACCACGAGAUCAAGGGUCACACACUUCACCAACCAAACCAGCCAGAUGCCCUAAUUCCGAUCAGUCUUUUAGAUAUGGGAGUAAAGUCUACUGUCAAAGUAUUCUGACUUUUUAAUUUCAGCGUCUUUGCUUUUGAGCCUAGCGUUAGCUUUCUAAAGUCAGAAUUAUCAAACCCUACUUACCUAAAAAUUCAGAAAACUUGUUCUACUGAUGUAUCUAAUGAUACAUUCAGUGAAAACCUUGAGGCUUUAGGAAUUCUAAUUAGAGUUUAAACUGACUUCUUUGUGCCCUGUGUAUAUUAUGAAACUUAAGUCUUUGUGCCUAUUCUGCUUAAUGUAUAGUCUUCAUUAUGUAGGCUUUUUCUUUUAAUCGGUUUCUACACUGGUUUCGUGUUAAGUUUUUCAGAUGUUAGCAGGCAGAGGGUUUUGUUUUUGCAUAUUCAAAGAUUAUUAAAGUAUUAGUUGCAAUGUCAGAUUUUCAUAAUUGCAUCAUAAGUACUUAAAAUGAUCUGUCCUGCUGUGAUCCUGCCUUUACUGUAAUACUGUCUGGUAUGAAUGCUCAACCAACCAAAGGGGGUGACGUAGCUGUGUCGGUUUCUUUUAAAAUGAAAGCUACCGGGGAGCCUGGGGGGCUCAGUCGGUUGAGCAUCGGCUCUUGAUUUCAGCUCAGGUCAUGAUCUUGGGAUGAGAUGAGAUGGAGCCCCGUGUGGGACUCUGCUCAGGGCAGAGUCUGUUUGUCCCUCUCCCUCCCCCUCUGCCCCUCCUCCAUGCACUUUGUCUCUCUCUCACUCUAAAAUAAAUAAGUAAAAUCUUUAAAAAAAUAAUAAAAAGCUUUGGAUACAAGUAGUUCAAACUAGUAACACCAGAUUGGUCUCCAAAAGAAUUAAUACAGCUGUAACAGGUGACAACAUUCCAGAGUUCCAGGAUUAUUUUAAUGUAGAUUUAAGGAUGGUUAAAUUUUGAUUGAAUACGAAGACUUCAGAGUGCCAACUUUUGUGUAUUUAAAACAUCCAUCGAUAGUUGGUAUAAGGAAUACAUUUUAUUUACUUGGUUGACUUCAUCUAGACGUACAUGUGAUGCCUAUUUUUUUUUAUUAUCGACUUCAUUGUUGCUGCCUUAAUGAGAAAUUUUAGUUUGAUUUGUCAACUCUUUCUGCUAGGUUUUAGAUUUUUAAAUUUUUUUUGUUUGCUUGGUUUGGGGUUUUUUUAGGGUGGCGGGUAGUGGUACCCUAAGAAGUUUCUGCAGUAGAAAAUAUCAUGACACCAUAUAUGUUCCUUAUUUAGUCAUGGCAUUUAGGGGAGUUUUUCAAAGCUUAUGUUGGGAGAUAGGGAAGAUAAGCAAAGCGUCACGGCAAAUUCUUCAUUUUUCAGAGUAAAUUCAUCUUAUGGAUAUAAUGACAAGCACAUUUAGCACAUUUUGGUAACAUGGCUUCUUUUCAUUGUGAUUGCUUUGCAAGCUUAAUAAUGUUCCUCCCUGAUGAGAGCCUGAUUGGAACUGAUUUUUGUUUAAAGAUUAAAUAUGUUUAAUAUGGAGAAAAUAAAAAUUGCCCGUAUGACUCUCGCAUGGCAAACUAUAAAUUAGCAGCACGCAACUGCAGCCUUGGACACCAACCAUCCUAACAGCAGGCACGGCUGCGUUAAACUUGGUGCUUGAUGUGGAACGUGUUUUCAGAUCAGGGCUUUCCUCGGGUGGGUUUCCUGUGAUUGGACUAAUACAUAAAUAUUUGCUCCUUUGGAGGCAUUUAGACAUUGGAAAUUAAUGAUUUGCUUAUGAACCACAGACUUGAGGAACAGUUUUAGUUGACAUUUCCAUUCUUAACUUUUUUGCCGAUGGAUUGCUUAGGCAUGACGCUCUGUUUCUAUGUUCUAGGACUAUUACUGAAUAAAUACUAUUUAUUUCUUUAUAUCGACCAACAUAUUAUUACAUUAGCUCUCUUGUGGUCAGAAGAGCUCUGAGAUGCUGGAGGAUACUGUGUGGUGAAGUUAGAGGCCAGGUGACCUGUGCAGCGACCCUGUGAUGAGAACCGGGGUGCCGGGAGGCUAGACAGAGGACACCGAGCCCACCGUUAACGUCUGGCAUGGUACAUGCCUCAGCUUUGUCUCGCAGCGCUCUGUUUUUAACAAUUGUACUUAACCGCAUCUUAAGAAAAACAUUUUGGCCUCUCAAAGGAAAACAGGGUUACCGAAAAAAAGAAAAAGAUAAAAGCCCUCACAUGAUUCCUUCUGUCUUCGCUGAACCCUGGGCUGUCAUUGAAGAGUAAUAUGUACUCUGUGUGACACUUCCCAUGAUACCGCUGCUGAUUUUCGGGAAGGAAGUAGGGAGGCAGUUGGUCCUACAUGUCCAGGCUGGCCACACACGUGGCGAGUCACUGUGCCUCUCUCUGCCUCCAUUUCUUCAACCAUGAAAUGGGAAUACCUGUCCCUGUCCUUCCCUGCCUCACCAGCAUACUGAAGGGUCAGGUAAAGAAGAGGAAAAAUUCUAUAAGGUGCCUUGAUCCCAAAGAUGGGCAGAAUACAGAUGUCCCUGUGCUUUAGUAAUGAAGACUUUGUUUUAUAUAGCGACUUGAUUUUAAAAGCGUCUUUACCUGGUUCUGAAUAGUGAAUAAUAACUGAUAUUUUGAAAUAGAAACUGAGAAUAGGUAGGUUUAAAAUUAAGGAGCUGUUUCAUAUUUUCAACGAUCAAAUAGUAAAAAUUUACAAUGUAUAUUAUGGCUCUCAGUGUGGGUUUAAAGUAUAUCAUUGCGCUCAGCUCCUUUGUAGAAGGUCUUGUCAUUUGAGCCAACUUUGCCUGUUGCAGGGGCUGCAUGGGGAUCACAGCAAACCGUAGUCACAGCAGCGCUUUUAGCGUCUCUGGAAUCUCAGCGGUUAGGAGCCUUAGAGCUUGCCCAGCGCCAUUUCCCACCAGAGGCGAGGUUCCUUCUGGUACCAUCCCUGGCGGGAGCGUGUGGAGCUCUCACGGAGGGCUCUGGGGCAGGGAGCCAGCUGCUACCUCGCUUGUUUGCUGUGUACGUUUUGUUCAAGCAUUGCCUUAAACUUGGGAGUAGUCAUGUGUUACAUCAGAACAUGCAAGCUCUUUUAAGUUUUAAGGAAUACCAUCUUUUUAAAGGGUCUAGGUUUGUAAUAUUUUCUGGGUUUCUUUUUAUGGUUUCUUCCCUUGAUUGGUUGUUUUCUCCAUUUGAUAUAAUUUGAACAUACUUUCUUCCCUUUUUAUGUGUUCCUUCUUCCAUUUAGCAUUUAUGGUAGCAAGAAGGGAAGGGUUGAUUUUUUUUUUAAGUUUAUUUAAAUAAUCUCUCCAUCCAAUGUGAGGCUCAGCCUCACAACCCCAAGAUCUAAAGUCGCAUGCUCUACCAACCGAGGCAGCCAGGCGCCCCAAGAGUUGUUGAUUUUUAAAAGAGACUGAAAUCAUGACUUUUGUUUUUGUCUUAUGUGGCAACUGGAUUGAUUGCUAAUCUCUUAUUUAAAGGUCCUUCAAAACUAGAAGCCAUUCUUUUCAGGUAAAUGCCUGGUAAGUGGCAUGGGGUGCUCUGAGGAAGGGGAAGCCAUGGGACCCCAAAGUAGAGUAGGGCGUCCCAAUGCCCAAGGCUGUAUUUUCCUUCUAAGGAGCACAUUUCCCAGAGACGUGGCGUCCCAGUGGAACCAGCUGCUGGGUAGGAAGGAUGUGUAACAGAUUGCUGACUUUCCUUUAGCAGGUCAGGUGCGGGGCCAUCAUCCAGCCUUGACAUUCCACUCCAACUUUGCUCAUCUUUGGGAAAUGGGGGUACCUCCAUUUUGCUAACUCGUCCAAAUUUGCAUCAAUGAAGUAAAUCACUUGACUCGUAUCUUUUCUUUCGGUUUUUGUUUCUCCCUCUGUCUCUGCGGGUUCCUUCUGCUUUCUCCCACCUAAGGGAAGCUGUGCUUGAUCUUACCCAGUCCAGAUCACCACGUUAAGAUGAACUGGGCUUAGACUUGAACCCCUGUAACUGUGAUUUUCUGUGUGUAGCCGCCGAAUAACUUUGGACCGUUUUCAACAGCGGCCUGAUGUCCCGUCACACCAGGUGUGUAGCGUCCAAGGUGACCUGUGGGGCAGGAGAGUCGCCAACCAGAGUGGAUAUGUUUCUAGAAUAAAAGACCUCUCUUCAAUGCCCCCUUUUAUGCCUCUUUUGAGACAUGUGGGUGCAUCUUGUCUCUGGCCAAAACUUGUUUCCAGUUUCAAAGAGCUGGUUCUGAAGGUGUCUUUGUAACUUUUUUGUUUCUGGAUCUGUUAGUUGCUGGGGAAGCAGUUAGCUAAGCCCUCAUUGCCUGAAGAGGAGAGGAGCCUGUGUUACAUCCCGACCCCACGACCCCACAGGUUUCCUGCUUAGGACCAAGUACUCACCUGCCUUCCAGGAGGGGAACUACUCUAUUUGCAGAAACUUGUUUGUGUUUUGGGGUUUUUGUUAUUUUGUUUUUUGUCUUUUAUCUUUCCCAUGUUCUGUCUUGGCUUAAUGAGGUCCUAGACCUGCAUAGCUUGUCUCAUUCUCUCCCACUCUUACUCCCAGUUUUCCAAUAUGGGAAAUUCCCUUUUAUUCAAGCAAGAAGCAAAAAGUGCUCUUAAGUGAAGUCUCUAGAUAGGGUUUGCUUUGAAAGAAGAUGAUGGCUUAUGUUGGUUGUAAACAUCAGUUUGGCUGGCAAUUAGGACAGGUUUUUAGCCUCUUUGAAAAAGCCCUUCUGGGGCAAACCUUUGACAAAGUCACUCAACUGGCAUGUAAUUAGAAUUUUAUAUGCAUGGCUUUUUUUCUAAGUCUCUCUAGAAGAACGGAAGACUUCUUACAAUGCAAGCAAUAAAAUUAUUCUCACAUCGAGGAUCAACUUUAUUUUUUUUAUUUCCCUUUUAUGCCAUCUUUUAUUAUUUGUAUUAGCAUUACUCUAGCAUUAAUUCUCCCCAAAGGGAGUAGCAUUUUUCUUCCUCUUCUUCUUCUUUUUUUCUUUUUGCUUGAUGCCUCCUGCAUUUAGUAAGUAGUUUUUUGUUUUGUUUUUUGUGGGGUUUUUUGGCUGCUUUCUUGAAUCCCAUAUUUAUAAUACUUUAUGGUUAAUUUUUAAAAACUGAUUAAUUCUAGCUGGGCUAGAAGCGUCAAGUAUUAUUUUAUAGUGAACUUUCCCUUUUCUGGGAUUUAUGUAGAGGAAGAGCUAAAGGUUACAAAUGGGUUGUUUUUUCUGUAAAUAUGUAUAGUUAUUUUAAUGUCUUUUGAAUGCUUUCUUAUAGUGAUAAUUGGUACUGCCAUUGAUCAAAGGUAAACAAUACGGAGUUAAGAAUUUUUAUACUAUGAACUAUUCAUUGAGAAUGUUCAGAAUUCCAUAGCUACUUAUCUUUAACACUUAUGAGAGGCAUGUAGUUUUUUCCUUUCAUGGUCUUAAAGUUAGUUUUCCCUUUGUUCAGGCAGGUCUGAGUCAUGAGUUGUAUUGACUGGAAAACAUACACGUAUCCAAAAGCGGAUGUAUUGUAGAAAUAUGAUGUUUUCUUGCUUUGGGGGUUUGGCCAGAAAGUUUUGUGUAUGGGUGUUAUUUUUAACAAAGCAGUAAGGGCUUACUUUUUACCAACCUGUGUGCGUGCCAAGAUGUGUUUGUUCAAGCUUUAAAAAAAGAAUAAACCUGUCAAUGUACAAACA